This 1060-nucleotide ribosomal RNA is filed under the name Cadophora fastigiata. Its description in RNAcentral is "SSU rRNA". It matches the Rfam family "Eukaryotic small subunit ribosomal RNA", at positions 53 to 1121 of the family's 1831-position model. Lineage: Eukaryota; Fungi; Ascomycota; Leotiomycetes; Helotiales; Ploettnerulaceae. The record is from RNAcentral.
GCAUGUCUAAGUAUAAGCAAUCUAUACGGUGAAACUGCGAAUGGCUCAUUAAAUCAGUUAUCGUUUAUUUGAUAGUACCUUACUACUUGGAUAACCGUGGUAAUUCUAGAGCUAAUACAUGCUAAAAACCUCGACUUCGGAAGGGGUGUAUUUAUUAGAUAAAAAACCAAUGCCCUUCGGGGCUCCUUGGUGAUUCAUAAUAACUUAACGAAUCGCAUGGCCUUGUGCCGGCGAUGGUUCAUUCAAAUUUCUGCCCUAUCAACUUUCGAUGGUAGGAUAGUGGCCUACCAUGGUUUCAACGGGUAACGGGGAAUUAGGGUUCUAUUCCGGAGAGGGAGCCUGAGAAACGGCUGCCACAUCCAAGGAAGGCAGCAGGCGCGCAAAUUACCCAAUCCCGACACGGGGAGGUAGUGACAAUAAAUACUGAUACAGGGCUCUUUUGGGUCUUGUAAUUGGAAUGAGUACAAUUUAAAUCCCUUAACGAGGAACAAUUGGAGGGCAAGUCUGGUGCCAGCAGCCGCGGUAAUUCCAGCUCCAAUAGCGUAUAUUAAAGUUGUUGCAGUUAAAAAGCUCGUAGUUGAACCUUGAGCCUGGCUGGCCGGUCCGCCUCACCGCGUGCACUGGUCCGGCCGGGUUUUUCCUUCUGGGGAGCCGCAUGCCCUUCACUGGGUGUGUCGGGGAACCAGGACUUUUACUUUGAAAAAAUUAGAGUGUUCAAAGCAGGCCUAUGCUCGAAUACAUUAGCAUGGAAUAAUAGAAUAGGACGUGUGGUUCUAUUUUGUUGGUUUCUAGGACCGCCGUAAUGAUUAAUAGGGAUAGUCGGGGGCAUCAGUAUUCAAUUGUCAGAGGUGAAAUUCUUGGAUUUAUUGAAGACUAACUACUGCGAAAGCAUUUGCCAAGGAUGUUUUCAUUAAUCAGUGAACGAAAGUUAGGGGAUCGAAGACGAUCAGAUACCGUCGUAGUCUUAACCAUAAACUAUGCCGACUAGGGAUCGGGCGAUGUUAUUUUUUUGACUCGCUCGGCACCUUACGAGAAANCAAAGUCUUUNGGUNNUGGGGGG